GAUGAAGAACGCAGCGAAAUGCGAUAAGUAAUGUGAAUUGCAGAAUCCAGUGAAUCAUCGAAUCUUUGAACGCACAUUGCGCCCGCCAGCAUUCUGGCGGGCAUGCCUGUUCGAGCGUCAUUUCAACCCUCGACCUCCCUUUGGGGAAGUCGGCGUUGGGGACCGGCAGCACACCGCCGGCCCUGAAAUGGAGUGGCGGCCCGUCCGCGGCGACCUCUGCGUAGUAAACCAACUCGCACCGGAACCCCGACGUGGCCACGCCGUAAAACACCCAACUUCUGAACGUUGACCUCGAAUCAGGUAGGACUACCCGCUGAACUUAAGCAUAUCAAUAAGCGGAGGA
This 343-nucleotide unclassified non-coding RNA is filed under the name soil metagenome. RNAcentral's name for it is "partial contains 5.8S ribosomal RNA, internal transcribed spacer 2, and large subunit ribosomal RNA". The stretch from base 1 to 120 matches the Rfam family "5.8S ribosomal RNA", at positions 35 to 154 of the family's 154-position model. The record is from RNAcentral.